AUGCCACGUGCUGAUGGUCCUUUUAAGGUGUUAGAGAAAAUAAAUGAUAAUGCAUAUAAACUUGAGCUGCCUAUAAAUUUUGGGGUUAGUCCCACUUUUAACAUUGCAGAUUUGAAGCCUUAUUUGGGUGAGGAAGAUGAGCUUCCGUCAAGGACGACUUCAUUUCAAGAAGGGGAAGAUGAUGAGGACGUCAAUACCAUUGUUACACCCACAGCCCCUGCUGCUAUACAUACUGGACCAAUUACUAGAGCUUGUGCACGCCAAUUAAAUUAUCAGCUACAUUCAUUUCUUGGUAAUGAUUCUAAUGUUGAUGAGAACAUGAUGCUGCCUAAAUUGGAUACAUUUGUCUUGCUUACAAAUGAAGGGCCUAGCUUGGACAAGAGGGAUGAACAUUGGAGC
Molecule: ribosomal RNA, 399 nt
Filed under: Triticum aestivum (bread wheat)
Lineage: Eukaryota; Viridiplantae; Streptophyta; Magnoliopsida; Poales; Poaceae
Description: partial small subunit ribosomal RNA
Source: RNAcentral